Molecule: ribosomal RNA, 246 nt
Filed under: uncultured bacterium
Lineage: Bacteria
Description: partial 16S ribosomal RNA
Rfam family: Bacterial small subunit ribosomal RNA
Source: RNAcentral
UACCAGCACCCGAGUGGUCGGACGUUUAUUGGGCCUAAGCAUCCGUAGCCGGUUCUACAAGUCUUCCGUUAAAUCCAGCUGCUUAACAGAUGGCUGCGGAAGAUACUAUGGAGCUAGGAGGCGGGAGAGGCAAGCGGUACUCGAUGGUAGGGUAAAUCCGUUGAUCCAUUGAAGACCACCAGUGGCGAAGGCGGCUCUUUGGUCUGUAACUGACGCUGAGGCGCGAAAGCGUGGGGAGCGAACAGG